UGAGGAGAGAGAAAAUGAAAAUAGAGAAAAUGAGAAAACUUUGGGAAACAAGAACCUUUUGAUAAAAAAAAAGAAAAAAAAGAAAGACACCUUUUAUUUUUUUUAAUUUAAAAUAACGGACCCGUUUAAUAUAACGGAGUCCGUUAUAUGAAACGGAUGUGGCCAGCCACAUAUAAAAAUUUGCCUCAGUCGAAUGCACCAUAUCGUCAAUCAAUCCUACAACCCCGAGUUUGACUAACAUCUUCCGAUUCUACUUGGUGCUCCGUAUAUACCCAAUUUCUCCAUUCUAUCUCCACCAAAACCCUUGCAAAAACCCUUUUGCUUGUCAACAAAAAUGGCUGCAAGAUUUGGUUCAUUGUCAAGGUCUUUCAUGUCUUCUGCUCGAACUUCCACUCUCCGUUCACCACCAUCUCUCCUCCGUCCUCCUCCUAUCUCCUCCCCUCGCCUCCGCCCUCGCCGCCCCUCCUUCGCUCCUUCCAGAAACUUUGGAGAACUAGGAUGCACGCAGUCAUUGCUUCCUUUCAGCUGUGCUGCAACUUUGCCUGGACGCCUAUCUACUGAAUUGCGAGUAUCCGAGCUCUUCCAUGGGAAUAAUGGAGAGGAUGGGUGAUGUUGCUUGGAAGCGUCGAUCAUCGAAAGGACAGAGGUGCUGCGUCUUUAGGGAAUCAAAGGUGUUUCCAGUUUUUUUCCUUAUGUCAUGCCAGACAUUUUCCUUAUGCUGGACUAGAGCAAUUUUCCAUUUGCUACUUGUCUAUAGUUUUGAAGUACUUUUCUUGAAUGAUAAAACAGUAAACAAGCUAUGAAUAAGAGAGUUACUCUGAAUUUUUUCUUUC
RNA transcript from Chenopodium quinoa (quinoa), 833 nucleotides. RefSeq lists it as uncharacterized. The transcript is spliced from 4 exons. The record is from RefSeq and is a predicted model, not a curated record. Lineage: Eukaryota; Viridiplantae; Streptophyta; Magnoliopsida; Caryophyllales; Amaranthaceae.